This 83-nucleotide transfer RNA is filed under the name Streptomyces rimosus subsp. rimosus. RNAcentral describes it as "tRNA-Ala(agc)". Lineage: Bacteria; Bacillati; Actinomycetota; Actinomycetes; Kitasatosporales; Streptomycetaceae. The record is from RNAcentral.
GCACCGCGUCGCGCACCGGCCCGUGCUCGCCGCCCAGCAGGCGGCGCGCCACGUCCGCGUUGUACGAGGCGUCGGCGCCGCGC